Molecule: unclassified non-coding RNA, 1088 nt
Filed under: Hevea brasiliensis (rubber tree)
Lineage: Eukaryota; Viridiplantae; Streptophyta; Magnoliopsida; Malpighiales; Euphorbiaceae
Source: RNAcentral
AUCAAGAACCGUCCCUGUAAGGUAAUCAAUCUCUUGAUCUCUUUUAUCUGCGGAUUGGGUAGAUCUGUAUCUCUGUCUUUUUAUUUAUUUGAUCUGCUGUUUUCUUAGAUCCUCAUGUAUUUAUCGGAAUAUUGGAUCCGAACUUUUUUAAUUUAUAUCAUGCUGGUGAAUUAAAGCUUGUCAAUUUUGUGGAGGGUGUUUGGUGAGAAUAAAGAUAUAGUGUACACAGAUCUUUUGACUCCUUUAAUUUGAUUGUAAUUUAGUAGUAUAUGCGUGAUCUCAAUAGUUUAGAAUCUUGUUUAUGUAAUAUUUUGGAGAUAAUUUGUUGCUUGGCUAAUAAAAUUGGAUUAUAAGUUUUUGUGUGGAUUUGUUGGAUAAUUGAUUCACACUUAUUUAUUCUAAAUUCCGUGUUGUUCUGAAAUCCUGUACUUUUGUUGCUGAUGAGUGAUCCAUAUUUAUUCCUGAUUCCGUGGUGUUCAAGAAGUUAGGAAUUUAAAUAAUAUUAUAAAUAAAUCGGAUUAUGUUGCUCGCUAUAAUAUGUACAAUGUAAAAUUACAAAUAAAGAACUCUAGAUGCCCUUGUAUCAGUAACUCAUCGUAUUUAUCUAAUUCUUUUUGGUGGGGACACUUGGUUAUUAAAUGGGAGCUAAAUGACUGUCAGGUCCCUGGUCCUAUUUUUUUUAAAACCCCAUUAGAACGUGACUUAUUUUGUAAAGUCACUCUGUUAAGGAACACUUGUUUUAACCUCGUAAAUUUAUGGUUUUUACUAUUCAUAUUAUUUAGACGAUAGGGACGUUUAAUUGAGUUUUUUUGAAAAAAGUAGGGACUAAGUUAAUUUUGGCAAGAUACAAGGACUUGAUAAUAAUUUACCCUUAAAUGUGAAGCUACAAACUAGGAAUUCAUAUGGUGCGGAUUAUGAUAACUACAAUUCUAGGUUCUUUGUGUUGGAAUGUCUUUUUUUUAUUAUUCAAGUCUUUGCUUGUUUGCUUUUUUCUUCUUAAAUAUUAUCUGUUUUGCUUGUUUGGUUUCUUCUCAGUUUGUUUCUUAACAAGUAACUGUACUUUGUGUCACAGGUUGUUGAGGUCUCAA